RNAcentral lists this transfer RNA (84 nucleotides) under Ixodes scapularis (black-legged tick). It matches the Rfam family "tRNA". From Rfam's summary of the family: Transfer RNA (tRNA) molecules are approximately 80 nucleotides in length. Their secondary structure includes four short double-helical elements and three loops (D, anti-codon, and T loops). The record is from Rfam by way of RNAcentral. Lineage: Eukaryota; Metazoa; Arthropoda; Arachnida; Ixodida; Ixodidae.
GCAGUCGUGGCCGAGCGGUUAAGGCGAUGAACUAGAAAUCCAUUGGGGACUUCCCCCACACAGGUUCGAAUCCUGUCAACUGCG